This 253-nucleotide ribosomal RNA is filed under the name uncultured bacterium. RNAcentral's name for it is "partial 16S ribosomal RNA". It matches the Rfam family "Bacterial small subunit ribosomal RNA", at positions 524 to 776 of the family's 1533-position model. The record is from RNAcentral.
UACGUGAGUGGCAAGCGUUAUCCGGAAUCAUUGGGCGUAAAGCGUCAGCAGGGGGACCUUCAAGUGAAAUGUUAAAUCCUUCGACCCAAUCGAAGAGAUGCACUUCAUACUGUUGGUCUAGAAGACAGGAGAGGUAAAUAGAAUUUCCGGAGUAGGGGUAAUAUCCGUAGAUACCGGAAGGAAUACCAAUAGCGAAGGCAAUUUACUGGUCUGUUCUUGACCCUCAGUGACGAAAGCGUGGGUAGCAAACAGG